RNAcentral lists this microRNA (20 nucleotides) under Corchorus capsularis. RNAcentral's name for it is "sRNA CCACVL1_04154". Lineage: Eukaryota; Viridiplantae; Streptophyta; Magnoliopsida; Malvales; Malvaceae. The record is from RNAcentral.
GGAGGGAGUAAAAGAAAAAA